AGCCAGCUGACGAGUGCCAAAUAAGACGAAACGCGCGUCUUGGAU
This is a non-coding RNA of Schistosoma mansoni, 45 nucleotides long. NCBI's taxonomy places the organism in Eukaryota, Metazoa, Platyhelminthes, Trematoda, Strigeidida, Schistosomatidae. The record is from Rfam.